GAUGAACGCUGGCGGCGUGCUUAACACAUGCAAGUCGAACGGAGUUUUAAUAAAUGAUUGAUUAAGCUUGCUUUUGAGAGAUUUUAUUAAAACUUAGUGGCGGACGGGUGAGUAACGCGUGGGUAACCUGCCCUAUACAGGGGAACAACAGUUGGAACGACUGCUAAUACCGCAUAAGCGCACAGCAUCGCAUGAUGCAGUGUGAAAAACUCCGGUGGUAUAGGAUGGACCCGCGUCUGAUUAGCUAGUUGGUGGGGUAACGGCCCACCAAGGCGACGAUCAGUAGCCGGCCUGAGAGGGUGAACGGCCACAUUGGGACUGAGACACGGCCCAAACUCCUACGGGAGGCAGCAGUGGGGAAUAUUGCACAAUGGGGGGAAACCCUGAUGCAGCGACGCCGCGUGAGUGAAGAAGUAUUUCGGUAUGUAAAGCUCUAUCAGCAGGGAAGAAAAAUGGACGGUACCUGACUAAGAAGCCCCGGCUAAC
RNAcentral lists this ribosomal RNA (486 nucleotides) under uncultured bacterium. Its description in RNAcentral is "bacterial SSU rRNA". It matches the Rfam family "Bacterial small subunit ribosomal RNA", at positions 28 to 501 of the family's 1533-position model. The record is from RNAcentral.